This 256-nucleotide ribosomal RNA is filed under the name uncultured bacterium. Its description in RNAcentral is "partial 16S ribosomal RNA". It matches the Rfam family "Bacterial small subunit ribosomal RNA", at positions 524 to 776 of the family's 1533-position model. The record is from RNAcentral.
GACGUAGGUGGCGAACGUUAUCCGGAAUUAUUGGGCGUAAAGGGUGCGCAGAUGGUCUGACAAGUUAGCAGUGGCAAAUCGAGGCUCAACCUCGUGGAAACUGGUAAUACUGUCUGACUCGAGUACAGGAGAGGUUAACGGAACUCCAUGUGGAGCGGUAAAAUGUGUAGAUAUAUGGAAGAACACCAAUAACGGCGAAGGCAGUUAACUAUUCUGCUACUGACAUUGAGGCACGAAAGCGUGGGGAGCAAAACGG